This 460-nucleotide ribosomal RNA is filed under the name uncultured bacterium. RNAcentral describes it as "partial 16S ribosomal RNA". It matches the Rfam family "Bacterial small subunit ribosomal RNA", at positions 338 to 795 of the family's 1533-position model. The record is from RNAcentral.
CCUACGGGAGGCAGCAGUGAGGAAUAUUGGUCAAUGGACGAGAGUCUGAACCAGCCAAGUAGCGUGAAGGAUGACUGCCCUAUGGGUUGUAAACUUCUUUUAUAUGGGAAUAAAAUGUUCCACGUGUGGGAUUUUGUAUGUACCAUAUGAAUAAGGAUCGGCUAACUCCGUGCCAGCAGCCGCGGUAAUACGGAGGAUCCGAACGUUAUCCGGAUUUAUUGGGUUUAAAGGGAGCGUAGGUGGAUUGUUAAGUCAGUUGUGAAAGUUUGCGGUUCAACCGUAAAAUUGCAGUUGAAACUGGCAGUCUUGAGUACAGUAGAGGUGGGCGGAAUUCGUGGUGUAGCGGUGAAAUGCUUAGAUAUCACGAAGAACUCCGAUUGCGAAGGCAGUUCACUGGACUGCAACUGACACUGAGGCUCGAAAGUGUGGGUAUCAAACAGGAUUAGAGACCCGAGUAGUC